UACGAGGGGUCCUAGCGUUGUUCGGAAUCAUUGGGCGUAAAGGGUGUGUAGGUGGCUAUGUAAGUCAGGUGUGAAAGCCCCGGGCUCAACCCGGGAAGUGCAUCUGAUACUGCGUAGCUUGAGUACCGAAGAGGAUAGUGGAAUUCCAGGUGUAGUGGUGAAAUACGUAGAUAUCUGGAGGAACACCGGUGGCGAAGGCGGCUAUCUGGUCGAGUACUGACACUGAGACACGAAAGCGUGGGGAGCAAACAGG
This 253-nucleotide ribosomal RNA is filed under the name uncultured bacterium. Its description in RNAcentral is "partial 16S ribosomal RNA". It matches the Rfam family "Bacterial small subunit ribosomal RNA", at positions 524 to 776 of the family's 1533-position model. The record is from RNAcentral.